UACGUAGGGGGCAAGCGUUGUCCGGAAUCCUUGGGCGUAAAGCGCGCGUAGGCGGCCCUGUAAGUCCGUUGUGAAAGUCAAAGGCUCAACCUUUGAAAGCCGAUGGAUACUGCAGGGCUAGAGUCCGGAAGAGGCGAGUGGAAUUCCUGGUGUAGCGGUGGAAUGCGCAGAUAUCAGGAGGAACACCAAUAGCGAAGGCAGCUCGCUGGGACGGUACUGACGCUAAGGCGCGAAAGCGUGGGGAGCGAACAGG
RNAcentral lists this ribosomal RNA (253 nucleotides) under uncultured bacterium. RNAcentral's name for it is "partial 16S ribosomal RNA". It matches the Rfam family "Bacterial small subunit ribosomal RNA", at positions 524 to 776 of the family's 1533-position model. The record is from RNAcentral.